CAACAAACUAAUUUCAAAAGAAAUACAUCUAAUAUUCAAUGAGAUCACCACUAAUAAAUAAUAAAAUAUCUCAAAUUAAAAAAAUCAUCUCAAAGUAUAAAAAUAACAGUUAAAUUCUAAUCAAACUCUAGGAAAAGCAAUUAAAAUUCUAGCCACCAAGCCAAGCUACCAAACAAAACUUCAAAAGAAUAAUUCAAGUAUUCCAACAGCAGGACUUGCAGCAAAACUUCCAGCACCAUCUUCCAAGAGCACUCUAAUUCCAGUCACAUAUCCAGCAAUAGUACUCCAACUAAUAGUCUAACUCAUAUGCAGUAGCCCAACAUCUUCCAACAACACUUUAAUUCCAGCCAUAUGCACAGCAACACUCCAACCUAUACCUAGUAACAUAAUCUAUGCAGAAUCAAUCAAAAUACCCAAUGUUAUCAAAUGCAUAACAUCUAUACUACAAUCCUUAAGAACAACCAUCAUAGUUUGACACAAAUUUAAUUUCAACAAAUUGUAAUAACUAAUAACAAGGUGUUUCAUACUCACACUAAUCAUUGCUGAUGCGACAAGGAUGUUGAAAAAAUGGUUAGCCCACUCUAAAGGAACCUCAUCAGGUUCAUUCUGAGUGUAUGUUUCUUUCCAUUAAAGUGUUAAUCACAAGAUUAAUACUGUCAAACUUCAAAAAUAAUGCCACAAAUAUGGAAUAAAAGAAAGUUAAAAUAUCUCAUCAUCAACUUACAUUGUUCAUUAACAAACAACAUUUGCUAUUGAAGAUGUAUAGUGUAUACAAGAAGUUUAAAAAUCGACCUGCUUUCAUGCUUUUGUUCUUCAAGCUUGGAUUGUAUAGAUUCCUACAAAACUCCUUCCAAUUUCUUAGUUUUUAUCCCGAAAGCAAUCAAACAUGCAUUUGCUCAAUUAAGUGAUCAACAUAAAAAAUAAUAAUAUGAAUAAUCAUGAAAUAGCUAGUAUUUACCUACAGAAAAAUAAUAUGCUAUAAUAUAAUAACCUUGCAUUUUAUAACAUUUCUAGUCCUUGGUGACGCAGAUUUGUUAUCCAUGAUGAUUAGUGAAGAACAAUCAUGAUUAAUUAGGAGUAGAACCUGUUAUUGAACUUAAAAUUCUCUUCAUCUUCUUUUUCGUUCAAAAUCAAAGGUGCCAUAUUCACAAAUAAAGAUAAUGGUAUAAUUUUUUUUUUUUAAAAAAAAUUUUAAUCCUUUUAUUUCCUUUUUCAGAAUGAAACACAAAAUUGAAAAUAGAGAUGAAUAUAUAGCUACACUAAUGAAAUCAAAAUUAUUGAUUCAAACCUAAAACAUUUUAAAAAGAAAUAAAAAAGUGAAGAAAAGAAUUCACUACCACCCUAAUCAAGCCAUAAAAAAACAUUUCCUACAAAGAUUGUCUCUUUGAACUUAGCAAACAAAGGCUUGUAAUGGGGUGUUUUAUGGGUUGUUUUGGUUUUUCCGGCAGACGGAGACGUUGAAAACCAGCCAAUAAAGUAUUGCCCGGAGACCAUAGAGUUGGGAGUUAUGAGCCUUUGGAUUCAACAGUCUCUCAGCUUAGUUGAAGUGACAAGAAGAUUAAGGAGAUAUCAAGCAUCAAAAUUGGGAAGAAAAUGAGCUUUAAUUUGAAUGUUCAAACCUAUGAGCCAUUAAAAGAUGAUGAAACUGUAUAUUGAUUGUCGAAGAGUGAUGAGGAUGAGAUGAGGGAAAAGAAUUGUGAAAGAUUUGCAAACGGAAGCCUAUCUACUACUGUGUCCGAAGAGAAAUCUACCGAGUCGAAAAUGGGGCCAUUUCCCAGCAACCAUAGAUACCAAAACUGCAGAGAUAGCUAUGAUGAUGAGGAGGACGAGGAUGAUAUGGCCUACAUUGGGAGUGAUUUGGAUGAGGAUGAUGAUGCGGAUGAUGAAUUUGAAUAUGAUAAUGACGAUGAGAAUGACAUUGAUGAUCAAAGAAUAAGCCAAAGUGAGUUCUUGAAGCAAUCAAACAAUCAGUCAGUGGAAUCACCCAAAAGAAACAUAACCAACAACCAUAUGCAAAUGCAACUUCCUGCCUUAAUAGAUGGAGACCCGAAAAGAAAUGACCGGGAUAGGAGCCAAUAUAUAAAUUGUGUGUUGAAUCCUGUAGAGAAUCCCACUCAAUGGAAAGCAGUCAAGGCAAGAACAGCAGCAGCACCUCAGCUUCUAAGAAAGGAGAAUAAUGGAUUACAGCAAGAAGGACAAGUACCUUCUUAUUUGACAACAAGUUCCAAUUUGUAUCCUUUCAAUUUAGUACCAAAUCACAACCAAUCGAAGCCUCUACUCCACGAGAUUGCAGUCGAUGCCAACCUUUCAAACUGGUUAGCUUCAUCAAACCGUAAUGAGUCUAAGACCAGUAUCAUCAACAACAGCAGAUCAUGCUCGCGGCAAAGUAGAGAAGAUAUACCAAUUAUAGAUAUCACCAACUUGAAGGCAUCAACAACAUAAUGAAACAUCGUCAAAUGCAAGAACUUCAGUUCUGGGAAUAUAAAUUGCAACUGUUUGGUUCAUAGUCUAUUUAAGCAUGAAAUUUAUUGCUUGUUGGGUUUUCGUUUCUGAUUCUUUUAUUAUUUUUUGACUAUAAUUCAUAACUAUGAUGUUUUUGGAAAAAAAAAGUGAAGAAAUGUUACCUAGGCUCAAACCUCUAGUUCCUGUUCCAGCCACCACACAAUAUCCAUUACCGACUAAUCUUUUAAGUCGAUCUCCACCACCAUCAAAACCAUAAAGAGCCGCCCAUCAAAUCCUAGCCGUAAAUACCACCGAUUUGCUACAAGAAUCACCAAACACGACUACCAAACAGCAACGAAACCUCCACCUCGUUCACUAUCUUCCUCCGUGAUUCACCAGCCACCACCAACAACACAUUACUAGUCAUUAGCUAUAUCAAUCUGGUUACCUCCCUCUUCUAGCCCCUUCACCUUUCGCUGGAAUUGAAGCCCAAAAUCAACACCGGCUCUUUCAUAAUUUUCGAUCAAAUGCUCGUGAAUUGAAGAGAAGCUCUAGCAGGACAUCGACUUUGUGGCCUAUGGGUGGGAUUUGAAAGUUGACUCUUUUACUUGGGUUAAUUGGCUGUGAAUGUAGGAAGUUUGUUCGAUCGUGAGUGAGGGUUUGAGCUUCUAGGGUUUCAAUUUCUUAGGUUGAGAGAGGGAGUGAUGAAUGUGUUGAGUGAGGGUUUUUAACUUAGAAUAUUUUGUAGUGUUUUGUUAAAAC
This 3204-nucleotide long non-coding RNA is filed under the name Citrus maxima (pomelo). RNAcentral's name for it is "long non-coding RNA (CMAX_LNC002697)". Lineage: Eukaryota; Viridiplantae; Streptophyta; Magnoliopsida; Sapindales; Rutaceae. The record is from RNAcentral.